GUCUCUAUAGCUCAGUUGGUAGAGCACGGGACUUUUAAUCUUAGGGUCGUGGACUUGAGCCCCACAUCGGGCA
This is a non-coding RNA of Podarcis lilfordi (Lilford's wall lizard), 73 nucleotides long. NCBI's taxonomy places the organism in Eukaryota, Metazoa, Chordata, Lepidosauria, Squamata, Lacertidae. The record is from the annotation of a GenBank genome assembly.